RNAcentral lists this unclassified non-coding RNA (306 nucleotides) under plant metagenome. RNAcentral describes it as "partial contains 5.8S ribosomal RNA, internal transcribed spacer 2, and large subunit ribosomal RNA". The stretch from base 1 to 105 matches the Rfam family "5.8S ribosomal RNA", at positions 50 to 154 of the family's 154-position model. The record is from RNAcentral.
GAAAUGCGAUAAGUAGUGUGAAUUGCAGAAUUCAGUGAAUCAUCGAAUCUUUGAACGCACAUUGCGCCCCUUGGUAUUCCAUGGGGCAUGCCUGUUCGAGCGUCAUUUGUACCUUCAAGCUUUGCUUGGUGUUGGGUGUUUGUCUCGCCUCUGCGCGCAGACUCGCCUCAAAACAAUUGGUAGCCGGCGUAUUGAUUUCGGAGCGCAGUACAUCUCGCGCUUUGCACUCAUAACGACGACGUCCAAAAAGUACAUUUUUUACACUCUUGACCUCGGAUCAGGUAGGGAUACCCGCUGAACUUAAGC